Leopardus geoffroyi (Geoffroy's cat) is the source of this 371-nucleotide long non-coding RNA. RefSeq lists it as uncharacterized. The record is from RefSeq and is a predicted model, not a curated record. NCBI's taxonomy places the organism in Eukaryota, Metazoa, Chordata, Mammalia, Carnivora, Felidae. The transcript has 2 exons.
UCAGUAAGACCUGUGAGCUGCCAAUUGGUAGAAGAUGUGAGUGAGGCGGAAGACAGAGCCACGGAGCUGACACAGACUUGCCCUAGUGCCAAGGACCAGGGGGCCUUUGUGGCCUACGGGUUGGGGACCUAAUUGGUGGGAACAGGUGACCGCCGCAAAGCCAAGGCAUGCGAAGCCAUGGAGACAGACCCAGCUCAGGACAGCCUUACAAAGAGUGGCAGAAGUGUCACUGGUCACAAGUCAGGCAUGCGGGGUAUCUGUGGCCUCAGUCUUCAACAACAGAAUGAAUACAUACGUGACUAUUAUUUUCUGAGAUGUACCUAUAUCAAAAAACUGCUCUGUAGUGUAUUAAAAGACUACUAAUGUUUUAA